AUUGAACGCUGGCGGCAGGCCUAACACAUGCAAGUCGAACGGUAACAGGAAGCAGCUUGCUGCUUCGCUGACGAGUGGCGGACGGGUGAGUAAUGUCUGGGAAGCUGCCUGAUGGAGGGGGAUAACUACUGGAAACGGUAGCUAAUACCGCAUAAUGUCGCAAGACCAAAGAGGGGGACCUUCGGGCCUCUUGCCAUCGGAUGUGCCCAGAUGGGAUUAGCUUGUUGGUGGGGUAACGGCUCACCAAGGCGACGAUCCCUAGCUGGUCUGAGAGGAUGACCAGCCACACUGGAACUGAGACACGGUCCAGACUCCUACGGGAGGCAGCAGUGGGGAAUAUUGCACAAUGGGCGCAAGCCUGAUGCAGCCAGGCCGCGUGUAUGAAGAAGGCCUUCGGGUUGUAAAGUACUUUCAGCGGGGAGGAAGGGAGUAAAGUUAAUACCUUUGCUCAUUGACGUUACCCGCAGAAGAAGCACCGGCUAACUCCGUG
Molecule: ribosomal RNA, 490 nt
Filed under: uncultured bacterium
Lineage: Bacteria
Description: partial 16S ribosomal RNA
Rfam family: Bacterial small subunit ribosomal RNA
Source: RNAcentral